This 89-nucleotide unclassified non-coding RNA is filed under the name Pseudomonas mediterranea. Lineage: Bacteria; Pseudomonadati; Pseudomonadota; Gammaproteobacteria; Pseudomonadales; Pseudomonadaceae. The record is from RNAcentral.
UGUGGGAGCGAGCCUGCUCGCGAUAGCGGUAUGUCAGUGACUUCUGCAUCGACUGAUUCACCGCUAUCGUGAGCAGGCUCGCUCCCACA